AGCACCCGCGCGGGAGAGACCGCCCCUUGACCGGGGUGGCGCCGAAGGGGCAGAUCCCUCCCCGGAACCUCUCAGGCAAAAGGACCGCGUGGGCAGG
RNAcentral lists this non-coding RNA (97 nucleotides) under Micromonospora coxensis. Its description in RNAcentral is "Glycine sequence". It matches the Rfam family "Glycine riboswitch aptamer". From Rfam's summary of the family: This family represents the bacterial glycine riboswitch. Glycine riboswitches usually consist of two metabolite-binding aptamers domains with similar structures in tandem. The aptamers cooperatively bind glycine to regulate the expression of downstream genes. The record is from RNAcentral. Lineage: Bacteria; Bacillati; Actinomycetota; Actinomycetes; Micromonosporales; Micromonosporaceae.